ACGCAAUAGAUACCCAGGUAGUCCACGCCCUAAACGAUGUCUACUAGUUGUCGGGUCUUAAUUGACUUGGUAAACGCAGCUAAACGCGUGAAAUAGACCGCCUGGGGAGUACGGCCGCAAGAUUAAAACUCAAAGGAAUUGACGGGGACCCGCACAAGCGGUGGAUGAUGUGGAUUAAAUUCGAUGCAACGCGAAAAACCUUACCUACCCUUGACAUGGAAGGAAUCCCUGAGAGAUCGGGGAGUGCUCGAAAGAGAACCUUUACACAGGUGCUGCAUGGCUGUCGUCAGCUCGUGUCGUGAGAUGUUGGGUUAAGUCCCGCAACGAGCGCAACCCUUGUCAUUAGUUGCUACGAAAGGGCACUCUAAUGAGACUGCCGGUGACAAACCGGAGGAAGGUGGGGAUGACGUCAAGUCCUCAUGGCCCUUAUGGGUAGGGCUUCACACGUCAUACAAUGGUACAUACAGAGGGCCGCCAACCCGCGAGGGGGAGCUAAUCCCAGAAAGUGUAUCGUAGUCCGGAUUGUAGUCUGCAACUCGACUGC
Molecule: ribosomal RNA, 544 nt
Filed under: uncultured bacterium
Lineage: Bacteria
Description: bacterial SSU rRNA
Rfam family: Bacterial small subunit ribosomal RNA
Source: RNAcentral